AACGAACGCUGGCGGCAUGCCUAACACAUGCAAGUCGAACGAGACCUUCGGGUCUAGUGGCGCACGGGGGCGUAACGCGUGGGAACCUGCCCGUAGGUUCGGAAUAACUCCCCGAAAGGGGUGCUAAUACCGGAUAAUGUCUUCGGACCAAAGAUUUAUCGCCUUUGGAUGGGCCCGCGUUGGAUUAGCUAGUUGGUAGGGUAAAAGCCUACCAAGGCGACGAUCCAUAGCUGGUCUGAGAGGAUGAUCAGCCACACUGGGACUGAGACACGGCCCAGACUCCUACGGGAGGCAGCAGUGGGGAAUAUUGGACAAUGGGCGAAAGCCUGAUCCAGCAAUGCCGCGUGAGUGAUGAAGGCCUUAGGGUUGUAAAGCUCUUUUACCCGGGAUGAUAAUGACAGUACCGGGAGAAUAAGCUCCGGCUAACUCCGUG
RNAcentral lists this ribosomal RNA (433 nucleotides) under uncultured bacterium. RNAcentral describes it as "partial 16S ribosomal RNA". It matches the Rfam family "Bacterial small subunit ribosomal RNA", at positions 29 to 507 of the family's 1533-position model. The record is from RNAcentral.